RNAcentral lists this ribosomal RNA (484 nucleotides) under Escherichia coli. RNAcentral's name for it is "bacterial SSU rRNA". It matches the Rfam family "Bacterial small subunit ribosomal RNA", at positions 108 to 588 of the family's 1533-position model. The record is from RNAcentral. Lineage: Bacteria; Pseudomonadati; Pseudomonadota; Gammaproteobacteria; Enterobacterales; Enterobacteriaceae.
GAGUAAUGUCUGGGAAACUGCCUGAUGGAGGGGGAUAACUACUGGAAACGGUAGCUAAUACCGCAUAACGUCGCAAGACCAAAGAGGGGGACCUUAGGGCCUCUUGCCAUCGGAUGUGCCCAGAUGGGAUUAGCUAGUAGGUGGGGUAAAGGCUCACCUAGGCGACGAUCCCUAGCUGGUCUGAGAGGAUGACCAGCCACACUGGAACUGAGACACGGUCCAGACUCCUACGGGAGGCAGCAGUGGGGAAUAUUGCACAAUGGGCGCAAGCCUGAUGCAGCCAUGCCGCGUGUAUGAAGAAGGCCUUCGGGUUGUAAAGUACUUUCAGCGGGGAGGAAGGGAGUAAAGUUAAUACCUUUGCUCAUUGACGUUACCCGCAGAAGAAGCACCGGCUAACUCCGUGCCAGCAGCCGCGGUAAUACGGAGGGUGCAAGCGUUAAUCGGAAUUACUGGGCGUAAAGCGCACGCAGGCGGUUUGUUAAGU